GGUCCCGUGGCCGAGCGGUCAGGCAGAGGUCUGCAAAACCUCGUACGGCGGUUCGAAUCCGCCCGGGACCU
Molecule: transfer RNA, 71 nt
Filed under: Pseudomonadota bacterium
Lineage: Bacteria; Pseudomonadati; Pseudomonadota
Also listed under: 1 other name
Description: tRNA-Cys
Rfam family: tRNA
About the family: Transfer RNA (tRNA) molecules are approximately 80 nucleotides in length. Their secondary structure includes four short double-helical elements and three loops (D, anti-codon, and T loops).
Source: RNAcentral